Lolium perenne is the source of this 1385-nucleotide long non-coding RNA. RefSeq lists it as uncharacterized. The record is from RefSeq and is a predicted model, not a curated record. Lineage: Eukaryota; Viridiplantae; Streptophyta; Magnoliopsida; Poales; Poaceae.
UACUGCUCUCAAAAACGAGAGAGGUAUGUAUCAUACCGAUGCCAAAUUUCGCAGCAAACUAGAAAGAGGCCCUAUCUGGGCCCAGCCCAGUAGACGCCCACGACCCAAUUGACAGCCCGACACAUGUGUGGAUAUCCUCGUUCAUCAGGGAACUCGAUUCGCUCAAAAAAAAAAAAAAAAAAAAAUCAGCGAACUCGCUGGGUUGGGUGCGGCCGGCAAUCCACAAGUCCGACGCCGGCGUCCUUGCGAGAUAUCCACCUCCUCCCCUCCGCCGCCCCUCCCGUACAUGUCCUGGCCGCGCUCCCUUGGCCGGCGACGACAUCCUCGGUCGCUAAGGCGGUCGAUUCUGGGGAAGCGCAACAUCGGCGCCCUCUUCCCGGCCCGCGGCGCCCUUGGCCUCACCACUGAUUGAAGAUGGUGCUCGCCGCCCUCUUCGCACGCAAAGAAGCCCGAGGUAUUCACAGUGGUCCGGGUGCGUUGCGUGGCGGUCAUCGCGUCGCGGCGCCCGUGCUGGCUCGGCGGUGGCGCAUGAGAUUGGAGGAGGCCGACGAUGUGAGGCGUCGCCCGCGCGUCGUCUUCUCCCGCGUCGGUCCUUCGCGGUGGUCGUCCUCGGCAUCCAGACCGUGGUGGACUGCGAGCUGGACAGGAAUUCGUCCCUAGCGACAAGACGGGGUUCGGCGUGCAGUUCUCGUCGCAUAGGGGUUCAGCGGCGAGGUGGCCACAACAACCAGGGGGCCGGCGCUCGUGCGGGUGCCAGGAAGGUGUGCCUGGGCUCUGGGCGACUGCCUGGUGGGUAGUGGCCAACAUUGGGUCACUGAGCGAGUGCCAGCUCUCUGAACAAGACACCGACAGGCUCCCUGUAAGGUACUUGCCAGCCAUCGGCACAUGCGGCGCCAGAUGUUCACUGGCUGUAUCUUAAGAAGGUGGCCUAGUUCAGCAGCAAUUAUGAAUGCUCGCUGAUCGCGUGUCAGCGAGUUGAUUAAUUUAAAGUACGCUUGCUGUGAGCAUCUCUACCCUGACGAUGAUGAAGACCUGAGCUGCAAGCACAAGUUUAAGACCUGGCGCAGCAAGAUUGACGGCACAGACCUGGAUUUCAUGGCGAUGCGUGAUUAGAAGUUGCUAUGAUCAGCUUUUCUCCGGUGUUUACUUGAAUUUGUCAUGUUUUAGACUAGCUGUUUUUAUCGAGUUUGGUACUAGUACUGUUUACUUCAAUUUUUCAUUCCGUUUGAUACAGAGAUCUUGUUAUUUAAUACUCCCUCCAGUCUGAUAAGAUUGACGCGAGCGUGUAUACUAAUUAGCCUAGAUUAGGCACAAACGUUGCGUCGAUUAAAUCCGACCAGAUGAGUAAUACAAUUUGGAUAUCAUUUAUCAUACUUUUGAAAUAA